Molecule: ribosomal RNA, 450 nt
Filed under: uncultured bacterium
Lineage: Bacteria
Description: bacterial SSU rRNA
Rfam family: Bacterial small subunit ribosomal RNA
Source: RNAcentral
UCCCAGACUCCUACGGGAGGCAGCAGUGGGGAAUAUUGCGCAAUGGGCGAAAGCCUGACGCAGCGACGCCGCGUGGGUGAAGGAGCGUUUCGGCGCGUAAAGCCCUCUCGGCAGGGAAGAAGGAGGACGGUACCUGACUAAGAAGCCCCGGCUAACUACGUGCCAGCAGCCGCGGUAAUACGUAGGGGGCAAGCGUUAUCCGGAUUUACUGGGUGUAAAGGGAGCGUAGACGGCAUGGCAAGUCAGAUGUGAAAGCCCGGGGCUCAACCCCGGGACUGCAUUUGAAACUGUCAGGCUGGAGUGCAGGAGAGGUAAGUGGAAUUCCUAGUGUAGCGGUGAAAUGCGUGGAUAUUAGGAGGAACACCAGUGGCGAAGGCGGCGUACUGGACUGUAACUGACGUUGAGGCUCGAAAGCGUGGGGAGCAAACAGGAUUAGAUACCCGAGUAUAU